GACGAACGCUGGCGGCGUGCUUAACACAUGCAAGUCGAACGGAAAGGCCCUGCUUUUGUGGGGUGCUCGAGUGGCGAACGGGUGAGUAACACGUGAGUAACCUGCCCUUGACUUUGGGAUAACUUCAGGAAACUGGGGCUAAUACCGGAUAGGAGCUCCUGCUGCAUGGUGGGGGUUGGAAAGUUUCGGCGGUUGGGGAUGGACUCGCGGCUUAUCAGCUUGUUGGUGGGGUAGUGGCUUACCAAGGCUUUGACGGGUAGCCGGCCUGAGAGGGUGACCGGCACAUUGGGACUGAGAUACGGCCCAGACUCCUACGGGAGGCAGCAGUGGGGAAUAUUGCACAAUGGGCGGAAGCCUGAUGCAGCAACGCCGCGUGCGGGAUGACGGCCUUCGGGUUGUAAACCGCUUUCGCCUGUGACGAAGCGUGAGUGGCGGUAAUGGGUAAAGAAGCACCGGCUAACUACGUG
RNAcentral lists this ribosomal RNA (467 nucleotides) under uncultured bacterium. RNAcentral describes it as "partial 16S ribosomal RNA". It matches the Rfam family "Bacterial small subunit ribosomal RNA", at positions 28 to 507 of the family's 1533-position model. The record is from RNAcentral.